RNAcentral lists this ribosomal RNA (492 nucleotides) under uncultured bacterium. RNAcentral describes it as "partial 16S ribosomal RNA". It matches the Rfam family "Bacterial small subunit ribosomal RNA", at positions 30 to 507 of the family's 1533-position model. The record is from RNAcentral.
AUUGAACGCUGGCGGCAUGCUUUACACAUGCAAGUCGAACGGUAACAGGCCUUCGGGUGCUGACGAGUGGCGAACGGGUGAGUAAUGCAUCGGAACGUACCCAGAGGUGGGGGAUAUCGCAGCGAAAGCUGUGCUAAUACUGCAUGUGAUCUGAGGAUGAAAGCGGGGGACCGAGCAGCAAUGUUUGGCCUCGCGCCUUUGGAGCGGCCGAUGUCGGAUUAGCUAGUUGGUGGGGUAAAGGCCUACCAAGGCGACGAUCCGUAGCUGGUCUGAGAGGACGACCAGCCACACUGGGACUGAGACACGGCCCAGACUCCUACGGGAGGCAGCAGUGGGGAAUUUUGGACAAUGGGCGCAAGCCUGAUCCAGCAAUGCCGCGUGCGGGAAGAAGGCCUUCGGGUUGUAAACCGCUUUUGGCAGGAACGAAACGGUGUCCGCUAAUACCGGGCGCUAAUGACGGUACCUGCAGAAUAAGCACCGGCUAACUACGUG